RNAcentral lists this ribosomal RNA (498 nucleotides) under uncultured bacterium. RNAcentral's name for it is "partial 16S ribosomal RNA". It matches the Rfam family "Bacterial small subunit ribosomal RNA", at positions 30 to 523 of the family's 1533-position model. The record is from RNAcentral.
AUUGAACGCUGGCGACAUGCCUUACACAUGCAAGUCGAACGGCAGCACGGGGCAACCUGGUGGCGAGUGGCGAACGGGUGAGUAAUGCAUCGGAACGUACCUUUCAGUGGGGGAUAACGUAGCGAAAGUUACGCUAAUACCGCAUAUUCUGUGAGAAGGAAAGCAGGGGAUCGCAAGACCUUGCGCUGAUUGAGCGGCCGAUGUCAGAUUAGCGAAUUGGUGAGGUAAAGGGUCACAAAGGCGACGAUCUGUAGCGGGUAUGAGAGGAUGAUUCGCCACACUGUAACUGAGACACGGUCCAGACUCCUACGAGAGGCCGCAGUGGGGAACUUUUGAAAAUGGGGUCAACCCUGAUCCAGCCAUGCCGCGUGAGUGAAGAAGGCCUUCGUGUUGUAAAGCUCUUUCGGCCGGGAAGAAAUCGCACGGGCUAAUACCCUGUGUGGAUGACGGUACCGGAAUAAGAAGCACCGUCUAACUACGUGCCAGCCGCCGCCGUAA